This 221-nucleotide non-coding RNA is filed under the name Virgibacillus necropolis. Its description in RNAcentral is "T-box sequence". It matches the Rfam family "T-box leader". From Rfam's summary of the family: Uncharged tRNA acts as the effector for transcription antitermination of genes in the T-box leader family. T-boxes are found upstream of many aminoacyl-tRNA synthetase genes and some amino acid biosynthetic genes usually in Gram-positive bacteria. The record is from RNAcentral. Lineage: Bacteria; Bacillati; Bacillota; Bacilli; Caryophanales; Bacillaceae.
AACUCGGCAACGAAAGGAAACGAGUAGUGUCUUAUCUCCCUGUUUUAGAGAGCUGAUGGUGGUGUAAAUCAGUACAAAGAUAAGCAUGAAUUACCAUCCUGGAGCUUCUUUUUCGUAUUAAAUUACGUAAAAGACGGUCAUCUUGAUCGUUAACAAUAAGUAAGUGGUGAGCAAUUUCCGUUCACAACUAGGGUGGUACCGCGAUUACAAUCGUCCCUACU